Molecule: ribosomal RNA, 372 nt
Filed under: uncultured bacterium
Lineage: Bacteria
Description: bacterial SSU rRNA
Rfam family: Bacterial small subunit ribosomal RNA
Source: RNAcentral
UACGUAGGUGGCAAGCGUUGUCCGGAUUUAUUGGGUUUAAAGGGUGCGUAGGCGGCUUAUUAAGUCAGUGGUGAAAGACGAUAGCUUAACUAUCGAGGUGCCAUUGAUACUGAUGAGCUUGAGUACAGUUGAGGUAGGCGGAAUGGACGGUGUAGCGGUGAAAUGCAUAGAUAUCGUCCAGAACACCGAUAGUGAAGACAGCUUACCAAGCUGUAACUGACGCUGAGGCACGAAAGUGUGGGGAUCAAACAGGAUUAGAUACCCUGGUAGUCCACACUGUAAACGUUGAUAACUCGCUGUUGGCGAUAUACAGUCAGCGGCCAAGCGCAAGCGAUAAGUUAUCCACCUGGGGAGUACGCCGGCAACGGUGAA